UACGGGGGGGGCAAGCGUUGUUCGGAAUUACUGGGCGUAAAGGGCUCGUAGGCGGCCAACUAAGUCAGACGUGAAAUCCCUCGGCUUAACCGGGGAACUGCGUCUGAUACUGGUUGGCUUGAAUCCGGGAGAGGGAUGUGGAAUUCCAGGUGUAGCGGUGAAAUGCGUAGAUAUCUGGAGGAACACCGGUGGCGAAGGCGGCAUCCUGGACCAACACUGACACUGAGGAGCGAAAGCCAGGGGAGCAAACGGG
This 253-nucleotide ribosomal RNA is filed under the name uncultured bacterium. RNAcentral's name for it is "partial 16S ribosomal RNA". It matches the Rfam family "Bacterial small subunit ribosomal RNA", at positions 524 to 776 of the family's 1533-position model. The record is from RNAcentral.